Phragmites australis (common reed) is the source of this 2344-nucleotide long non-coding RNA. RefSeq lists it as uncharacterized. The record is from RefSeq and is a predicted model, not a curated record. The transcript has 9 exons. NCBI's taxonomy places the organism in Eukaryota, Viridiplantae, Streptophyta, Magnoliopsida, Poales, Poaceae.
UCGGUGAAGACGCUGCCACGCUGGUCCUGGCCUUUGUCCACUGGAGGAAAAAAUCCGCGCCUCAUCUCGUUCGACGCCCGCUCCUCUCUUUCGGCUCCGUCGCCCCCUCGCCGUUUCGCAUACUGACGGCGCUCCUCCCUGCCCCCGCCGUCUCAGAUAUCUGGCCGGCCUACCUGCCUUGCCGCCUCCUCCACCAGAUCCGGGGGGCGCCGGGUGAGAGGAGCACCGUCGCGGAUCCGGCCGGACUCCCUGCCCUGUUGCCUCUCCUCCACCGGAUCCCAGCGGCCAGGUGAGAGGAGCCGAGGGCGAGAAGGGGCCAACAAGAACACGCGAGGGAGGGGGCUUCUCCUCCACCCGCGCGACGACGGUGAAGCGGGGGCGGCGCGGAGGGUGCUGGGAGAUGGCAACGGUAAAGGAGGCUGGCUCCUCUCCCCUUCCCGGGGGUCCUUACUCGAUUUAGCGUGGGAGGCGAUGCGUCCGUCCAUGACGUCACACGCGAGGCACUGGGCCGGUGGCCAGCGGCGGCGCACCCGACCAGGUCCGAGCGUGUGGGUGGCGGCCUCCUCAAGCUCGGGCGGCGCAGCGUCGGCAAUCCCAUAUGGGGUACUAAGUUGGCGGUUCCAGCGUGGGUGCAAUGCGUACCUACACCGCCCUCGCCUCCUAUGCCCACCUCCACCGUUCCCAGCCUCCCGACACAGAGGCAUUGGCCACUUUGUCUCCACGCUAUCUGCCUGCACGGGAAGAGAAGUUUUAGGAAGGGCUCCGCUCUGAUUUAAGAUAGCAGUACAAUGGUGUUCGUGCCUUCUCCCCGGUAGGGAUCAAAAUUGAGGUGCCUACCGAGGCUUCUACAUUGCUCCAGCUCAAACUUUCAAAGGGAGUACCACCUGACAAAUACGUAUUUGCCUUGGUGCGGAGGCAGUGCCUGUGGCCGGUGGGGAGGAUGAGAGGAGCUGCGUUCGACGAGUCCGCACUCCUUGCCUCCCGCCUACGCCGCCACCAGAUCGGCAGCGGCGGUGACAAGCCCAUCACGCUCCACUUCAGCGACCUACAUGGCUUUGCUGCCCGCGCAGACGGCGGUGCCGGGGUUCUCGCUCCGGGCGCUGUUCACGGACCGGUCGCGGGAGGAUAUGUACGUAGCCUUCAAGUCCCCCAAUGCUGCUAUAGGCGAUCAGGCGCUGUACAACGGGCUCAUAGCCACCAGUAUGCAUGAUGCCGCCACCGUGCAACUGCAGUUCGGGCAGGCAUAAUGCAGGUUCCCUGGAGAAAAAGAAAGAAGCAAAUGCUGGUUCCUUCUACCAAAUCUAGGGGUGAAACGAAAAACCUGAAGGUGAAAGUGGAUACUUCAAAUGCUUGGUGCAACAAAUUUGGUGAGGGGAUUUGAGAAAAAUGCACAUGCUGUGGAAGUUACGCCAAUUCCUCUGAAAAUCUCGGAUACCAGUACAGCAAAAUUGUCACCUGUUGGAAGUCUAGAACCCAGAGAUGCUGAAAUGGUCAGGCCUUUAUGACCUCAUUCACAAGACCUAGAGAAGGAUGGCUAAACUCUCGAAGUACAAGCUGGUCACUAUUUGAUUCUUAUAAGUAGUUUGUCUUCCGUCAUCUCAACUGAAGGCCCUGCAGUCAUUUCAACUGAAGGCCCUGCCAGAAACUGCAGUUGAUAAGCCAGAUGAACAAUCAUUGAAUGGAAACUUGCGGUGGUGCUAAAUCCUGAUGAGCAUGAAGCCUGACGAAUUUUUUGAAAGCUCCGAUGUUCAUUCGCCUUACGGUCCGCUUGCUUUCGGCGCUCAGUGCUGCUCUAGACGUCUGCGCCUGUGUGCUUGGUACUACGGUUUCGGUUUGGAAACAUGGGUACCUUCAUCACAUCUGUUUUGUUGGAUUCUAUGGUUGGUGUAUAAAUGAUGGAAGGGCCAGGAUGAUGUUCAUGGUGCUGGUAUUGUUUGCUUUUGCAUCUGGUUUUUCGUUUAUUUCAGGUUGGAAGUUCAGGCUCAUUGUGGUCUGCAGUUUAUCUACGGAUUUAGUUCGUUGUGUUGCUGGCUAGGGUGUUGGUUUCAAGUUUCGCUCUGAAGUAUGCAAUAUGAUGAAGCUAGUGGUGCCCUGCAAGUUUAUAACCACAUCUACCUUUUGAGAAGAAUUUGCUUUGCUAGAUUACCGUUCCAAGUACGUUUUGCCUGUUAUGGAUUAGGUCAGCCUCCGGUUGUUGCUCUGUAUAUAGUUCGUUGGUUUGUCGAGACCUUUUUUCGCUGUACUGUGGUCACUUCAUGUGCCUUCAAGCGCGCUACGCUUGACUUGCUUGGAAAACCUGUAGCUGGAAAAUAAUAUUACCUGUGUGGUGCUCUGCCUUACCAAA